This 581-nucleotide long non-coding RNA is filed under the name Neogobius melanostomus (round goby). Its description in RNAcentral is "lncRNA (ENSNMLG00000022266.1)". The record is from RNAcentral. Lineage: Eukaryota; Metazoa; Chordata; Actinopteri; Gobiiformes; Gobiidae.
UUUUACUUUUAGGAGGCAAGGAGCACAUGGCUUCAUUGAUAAAAGCUAUGAUGAGAAAAUUGCCUGUUUUUGGAGUCUAAACAUGAUGCAGCUGCUUGGAGAAUAAAAGCUAAGGACAGACAACACAGCAGUAUCACCUGAUGUUGCUGAUAGACCUCCAGCCAACUUCUACAAAGACACACUUCGGAUGCAAAUGACUGGGAACAAUAAGGUCAUUGCUGCCUGUGCUGUCCUCCAUAACAGAAGACCUGCAGACCUGCACACUGGGCCAAUGCUGUUGUCACCGUCAUAUACUCUGAAGUCUGAAACAGUUUCCAAUGGGAUAAACCAGGCACAACAAUGUCUUAAUAAAGUGAAUGCCCUUCAUUCAUUUAUUGCUGGUGUACAUACAAAACAAGUUUAGUUUACAGCUGUGCCAAAUAUAGAAACUUCUACACUGACUUUACACUUCCUUAGCACUGAGGAAGAGCAUUUAAAACAAUAUCCCAGAGGAAUAUACAUUUGACCCCAUAUACUGUAGAAUAUAACUUUCCCUUUGUGAGACUAAAAUAAACCCUUAUGGUAUAUACCAAGAUAGGAAU